RNAcentral lists this ribosomal RNA (428 nucleotides) under uncultured bacterium. Its description in RNAcentral is "partial 16S ribosomal RNA". It matches the Rfam family "Bacterial small subunit ribosomal RNA", at positions 354 to 796 of the family's 1533-position model. The record is from RNAcentral.
GUCGAGAAUCUUCCGCAAUGCGCGAAAGCGUGACGGAGCGACACCGCGUGAUGGAUGAAGUCCUUCGGGGCGUAAACAUCUUUUAUAAAGGAGGAAAUUUUUGACGUUACUUUAUGAAUAAGGGGCUCCCAAUCUCGUGCCAGCAGGAGCGGUAAUACGAGAGCCUCAAGCGUUAUCCGGAAUCAUUGGGCGUAAAGGGUGCGUAGGUGGUUUGAUUAGUCUCCCGUUAAAACUUCGAGCUUAACUCGAAAAGAGCGGGGGAAACGGUCAAACUAGAGUAUGUGAGAGGUGUGUGGAACUCAUGGUGUAGGGGUGAAAUCCGUUGAUAUCAUGGGGAACACCAAAAGCGAAGGCAGCACACUGGCACAUCACUGACACUGAGGCACGAAACCUAAGGUAGCGUAUGCGAUUAGAAACCCCAGUAGUCC